Molecule: long non-coding RNA, 1748 nt
Organism: Herpailurus yagouaroundi (jaguarundi)
Lineage: Eukaryota; Metazoa; Chordata; Mammalia; Carnivora; Felidae
Exons: 3
Source: RefSeq, a predicted model, not a curated record
ACAACUUUCACAGGCAGAAGGUUCUAGCUGCUUCCCUCCUUCCACCUCGAGAGGCUUUGAAUCAAGUCACCUGCUGUGACCUGGGAGAGAGAGGCCCAGCUGCAUUUGCUGGGAAACCCCACUUUCUACCUUGGAUCUCCUCCACUUCCAUUCAUUCUCCUUGCCUGCAGACUGAGCUUUCUCUUCGCCCGCCCCCCCCCCCCCCCAGCCCAUAUUGGCCCUCAGAAUUCCAUCCUGGUCUUUGUGCCCUGGAGCGGGUGUCCAUCCAUCCGGGUGCCUGCAACACUCCAUUAAUGCACCCACAGCCGGCCUCCUGGACAGAGAGUAGUCACCUGCCUGACUGCUCAGGAAUGACCCUUGUGCCUGCCUUCCUGCAUCAGACCUUUGAGCUAGCAUGUGGCUUAGCCCUCAGUGCCCCGCAAGAAGCGGGUCUCACCCCUCCAUCGGACAGCUCUCACACCUGUGGGGCCCAGCUCCCUUCCCCACACCACUUUCAGACCCCAAGACUCCCCCUCCAAGUGACCCCUCCUACAACUCAGGGUGUGCAGUUACAAACCAGUCACCAGGUUGUCCACAGAAUGACUGGAAUGGGGGAAGAACUGACUCUUUGCAAGGAAGAGAGGAAGAACAAAAAGAAGAGUUCUGAAACUCACAGAGGUGCCGGAAGGAUCUAGGGGUAGAUGUGGCAGAGAGAACUGGAAAAGUCCGAGAAAGCUUUCAAACCCAGGCCUGUCAAGGCCCCUCGGGCUCUGACUGCCCCACCACACACUCACAUCCUCACACACAUCCAUCCGCCGUGGGCACGCUGGGCACACGCUCGGCCCCCAGCGCCCGGCACAGGUCAGUCGGCUUCACAGCCCCCUCAGGCCCUGGGGAGCCCCACAGAGCUCCUGUUGGUUUCUAUUGUAUUCAGGCUUCUCCCUUGCUAUCCAGUCCUUCUUGCCUGUAUGUUUCUGUCUCUCUCUCUCUAUCCCCCUGUCCCCAUGUUCUUCCCCUGGGUCCCAGCUCGCCCCUGUCCCCUGUGCCUGUCUCUCCCAUCCCCUGUUCCCUCCUCUGUGCCUUCCUCUUCACUCCCUUCACUUUCUAGACUUUUUUCCUCAGGCUCACUCUGUCUCGUUCUGACUUUCCCCUCUGUCUCCAGGGUGCGGGCAUACUUCCCAGCUGCCCCUACCCAAACCAGGCUGGAGAGUGAGUGCGGGGAAUGGGCCGCUCCUUCCCUCUUUCAGAGCCUGACCAUCUGGCCCGACGCCCUGGAGCCGGCCUGCUGAGCUGACCCAGCAGCCUCUGCUUUUUUGGCAGGAGAGGCACCCGGGGCCCUGCCGAGCAGCACCCCUCUGCCUCACCCAGUAGGCAGAAAGCGAGGGUGAGACGGAGCCCGUGGGUGACAUCGACAGCUGAGAGGGAGAGACGCAGGCUCUUUUCAGGAAAUUAAGUAUGAAUCAAAGCUCAGCAACGUGCAUCCAUAUGGAAUUUUGGAGCCUUUAUGUCCACUGCAGAAUUUAACAAAGCUGAGAAGACCAAGAAGAAACAACACCCCUAUAGCAAUGUGCACAGCUAGAACCAAGAUCUUGGUUAGUGAACUGGGCUUCUAGAAGAAAUUGCUGACUUCAGUGCCACAGCAGGAAGUAAGCAAGAUGAGCCUGGAUCAGAAAGACUCAUCAGACUCUUGGUUUCAGCUCAAGUCACGAUCCCACGGGUUGUGAGAUCAAGCCCCACGUCAGGCACUGCAGUUAUAGCAUGCAGCCUAC